CAUACCGCAUACCAUACAUCACAUAACAUAUAUCACAUAACAUGGUAUCCUAUAACAUCACAUAACUGCAACAUAUGUAUCACAUAACGUAUAACACAUAACGUAUGUCACAUCACACAUACCACAUAACACCACAUCACCAGAUGUACAUACUUCAGUAAUUCAUUAUCUUGUGCAGAAGAAAAAACAAAGAUACAAAGUCUGGGUGACCUGGAUGUUGCCCCCUAAAAGUCAGAGUCUGAGCCACUGCCAGGGACACCCAGGACUCCUGAGUACCUUUAGGUUGAGCCGAGCCUUCAGCCAAAGGGACUAAGGAUCCACCAUCAGGAAAGAGGUAAGAAGGAACUGGAAACAGUUGUGGCCCAUCAAGAAGUUUCAGCCAGUCAGGAUGGAUCCACCAUCAGGAAAGAGGUAAGAAGGAACUGGAAACAGUUGUGGCCCAUCAAGAAGUUUCAGCCAGUCAGGAUGUAUCCACCACACAUGGUUACCACAAACCCCAUCAUAACAAAAACUCUAUGUCAUAUAAAGAUUUCCAAGCCCUGGCAAGAACCAAUAUACUGAGUUCCAGGGAAAUCAAUACAUUUCAACAGAGUCUUGGUAUAUAUGGCAAUGAGAUUUGACCCAGUGUCAUCUCCAGGGUUGAAGAAAUGUUGGAAAUGAGUUCCAGGGAAAUCAAUACAUUGCAACAGCCUUGGCAUAUAUGGCAAUGAGACUCGACCCAGUAUCCUCUCCAAGGCUGAAGAAAUGGCAGAGCAAAAAGCCAUUGCUAUACCACUCUCCUGACCUGGCCAUGGAGUAAGGACUAAAAUGAAGGCCAAUAUUAAUAUGCCGCCUUGAUAUCUGGUGAGACUGGGAAGAUGUUGCAUGGCCUAACCACAAGUUCCUCUCCCCACUCCUAUGGGAAAGAUCCCCCAGCCAGACAACCCUCCUUGGCAAAGGGACCAGGUGCAGUUCCUGCUUAUCCUUGAGUAGUGGGUUUCAUUUCUCUGCCAACUAUGGACUUAUUCAAACAAACCAAUCACAUCCCCUCAUGGAAACAAGGGGACACCUCACCCUCUUGAUACUACAAAACCUGACGCCCACAGCCCUGUUUGUUACUUCUGUACCUGCCUCAGCAUAACCCCUGCACUCAGCUGCUGUUGGGAUCAUCUGCCCAGGGUCAGGUGCUAUGUAUUUGGCCAUUGCAGUAACCUUAGUGUGGGAGUCCCCUUCUCACCCAUUGGUUGAAUAGGAGGCAAUUAAACCACUGGCCUUUCAAAAAGGUUCUGGUGCUUCCCAUCCAGCAGCCUUGGUGGUAUUGAGCAUCAGGAUUCAUUGGCUCUGCAGUCCAUUCAUUCAACAACAGUUAUUGCGUAGGUUUUGGUGCCAGGCACUGUCCUCCAGGGCCAUAUGCCCAGUUGCUGAGACCUUGUCCUUGACCUGUUGUGGACAUUAGUCAGCAACAUUUACUGACAACACACACCCACCCAAUUCCCAAUCAUUGGGAAGCAAUUGGCCUAACAAAACAGUCCUCCGCUGUGGGAUGUGUAUGGCAUGGGGCUGCAGUAAGGUCCUUGGUGCCAUAUUUAAGCUUCUACAUGUUCUAAUCCUGGUUCUUUCUUCCCCUCUAGAAGGCUGGAAACUUUUCAAAGAAGAAGAGGGUGAGUUUCUCUGACCAUAUUAGCCAUGAGCAGCCACAGUGAAAGAAUUAAUGAAUUAGUUGCCUUUGCUUAUCUUUGCCCUGGACUUCAGACCUCCUUCAGGAGCAAUGGAGGGAUCCAAAAGCCAACACUGGAAGAUGUGGAUGGUG
Molecule: long non-coding RNA, 1789 nt
Filed under: Homo sapiens (human)
Lineage: Eukaryota; Metazoa; Chordata; Mammalia; Primates; Hominidae
Description: long non-coding RNA NONHSAT177126
Source: RNAcentral